GACGUUGUCUGCUCCAAGUGCUGCAAUAUGCAAGGUAAAGAAAUGGAAGGGUUGUCGUGUUCAUCAGCGAUCGCAUAGAAAACAUGGGAAAUCAAAAACAACAUCAUCCCAAUGGACACUCCGAGCGACGCCGCCACCUCCUCCACAACCACCAUGACCAACGCCGACAACUCGAUCUUCUACUAUGACGAGGCGGGCAAGAACGAGUUCCAGCGCGACAAACCCUAGGCCAACAACCCCCACUACUGAGUAGCGCGUGAAGAUCUCCGCACUCGCGCGCUCUGGUGGCGCCAUCAAGGUCAUGGGCCGACGCUGAUGCCAUCAUCGUUAUGGACGCCUUCGCCCUCCCCGUCGAAGGCACUAAGACUCGCGUCAAUGCCCAGGCUGAUGCGUACGAGUACAUGGUCGAUUAUUCACAGACAAACAAGCAAUGAUUCUCAUGUUUAUGGGUCUUGCCCUAAAGUCAAGUUGCUUCUUGCAAUUUUCAUCUAAGAAAGCUAUAAUCUCCAUGAAACAACACACUCCCGUGGCUGCUAUCAGGACCAUGAAAGUAGUGGGACUCUCUGCAAGAUUCAUCAAAUUGAAAAAAGAAGGAAAAACUUGGUCACCUCAAUUCAUGAGAACUGGUUCAGUGCAACUUGUAUUAACACAUCAAAGCCUGCUGGUGAAGGUGCUAUUGUUAUACAAACAGUAGCUUAUAUCUUGCUUGCUAUGAAUGUUGGUCACAAUCAGCUCCAGCAAGGACUGGUGUUGACUUUCAUAAUCUUUCUACUCUCUCCACAUUGGAUCUCUCCUUCAAUUCUCUAACAGUAAGCUUUUCCCAUUAUAAGCAAUUGUGGGGUGCCAGUGGUUAGGUAAGAAUUGAGUGCAUAUGGAACGUUCGGGUUUGGGAGUGCCCUGGUAUUUUGGAUCCCACUGUUAAGCUUUUCUGGUUCCUUUGUGAACUUGUUGUCAAUUUUCUGUAUUUUCAAAUGUCUUCCUCUGUGUUCAGGAGCUAGGAUAAUUUGUUCCGCACAUAGUAACUGGUUAUUUAACACACUUUUCCUGGAAUGAGUGCAUGCUUGACACGGCAGACAUCUUUAUAGCUACCAGACUAGAGAAUUCUUGUAUAAAAUUGCCAAACUUUUUUUCUUUAGGAACAUGAUCAGCCUGUCUUUUUUUUUUCUUUAGUAAUAUGAUUCUCACCAAAUUAAAUCAAAAUUUGGCAUAUUAUUUUGCUUUUCAACUUCAGUAUCCAAAUUAACAUAUGUGCCAUGAUGCAGAAGAAAAGUUCAUGCAAACUUCCUCUGUAUCAGACUGGAAGACGUUUGAUACUUCUGCCUCAAUAAAUCUUAAACCCCCACCUAUUGAUCGCCAUAAAUCAUUUGAUGAGGAAGAAUUCUCCAAGAAGCCCACAAUGAUUUGACAAAUGAUUUUAUAGAAAUAAUUUUAAACAUCUCCAAUUUACAUCAUCCAAAUGUGACAGCUUGUAGGUUAUUGCUCAGAGUAUGGACAACACCUCUUGGUCUAUGAGUUUCAUAAAAAUGGAUCACAGCAUGACUUCAUUCACCUACCAGAUGAAUAUAGUAAACCAUUGAUAUGGAAUUCGCGGGUCAAAAUUGCUUUGGGGACUGCACGUGCUCUAGAGUACCUACAUGAAGUUAGUCCGCCAUCAGUUGUUCAUAAGAAUAUUAAGUCAGCCAACAUAUUAUUGGAUACAGAGCUUAAUCCUCAUCUUUCAGAUAGUGGAUUGGCAAGUUAUAUUCCAAAUGCGGACCAGCUCUGAAACUCCCUCACCACCGGCACUACAACCUCUCGCAGCGCUGAAACUCCCUAUCAAUGUCACUCUCACGGCGUUGCAACCUCACGGUUGAUCACGAAAAGUAAGCCUCUAUCUUCGUUUUUCUCUACUUUCUUCUCCUUCUCGCACUACCAUUUGAAAUCCUUGACUCGAAUUGUUAAUAGUUAGGAUUGGAUGUUAUAGAUUUGAUAAACUUGUGUAGAUGGCUGGUUGAAGAAUUUAGGACUACUUAGUGGCUGAUUAAGUAGACCAACUUUUUGUUUGGAAUAAUGAACUAACCAAUUUAAAUUCAAAAUCAGUUGGCA
Molecule: long non-coding RNA, 2085 nt
Organism: Glycine soja
Lineage: Eukaryota; Viridiplantae; Streptophyta; Magnoliopsida; Fabales; Fabaceae
Exons: 7
Source: RefSeq, a predicted model, not a curated record